ACGGAGGGUGCAAGCGUUAUUCGGAAUUACUGGGCGUAAAGGGCGUGUAGGCGGGACGGUAAGUUAGAUGUGAAAGCCUAGGGCUCAACCUUGGAACGGCCUUUAAUACUGGCGGUCUUGAGGUUGUAAGAGGAAAGGGGAAUUCCCGGUGUAAGGGUGAAAUUUGUAGAUAUCGGGAGGAACACCAGUGGCGAAAGCGGCCUUCUAGUCAGCAUCUGACGCUAAUCUGCGAAAGCUUGGGGAGCAAACAG
Molecule: ribosomal RNA, 251 nt
Filed under: uncultured prokaryote
Description: partial 16S rRNA
Rfam family: Bacterial small subunit ribosomal RNA
Source: RNAcentral